Pelobates cultripes (western spadefoot toad) is the source of this 232-nucleotide non-coding RNA. NCBI's taxonomy places the organism in Eukaryota, Metazoa, Chordata, Amphibia, Anura, Pelobatidae. The record is from the annotation of a GenBank genome assembly.
CGGGGACUGACAGCCUAUUAUAAGACGGCUAUAACACCUUGGACUGACAGCCUAUUAUAAGACGGCUAUAACACCGGGGACUGACAGCCUAUUAUAAGACGGCUAUAACACCGUGGAGUGACAGCCUAUUAUUAGACGGUUAUAACACUGGGGACUGACAGCCUAUUAUAAGAUGGCUAUAACACCGGGGACUGACAGCCGGACAGCCUAUUAUAAGACGGUUAUAACACUG